AUACGUAGGUGGCGAGCGUUGUCCGGAAUUACUGGGCGUAAAGGAUGCGUAGGUGGAUAUUUAAGUGGGAUGUGAAAUCCCCGGGCUCAACCCGGGAACUGCAUUCCAAACUGGGUAUCUAGAGUGCAGGAGAGGAAAGCGGAAUUCCUAGUGUAGCGGUGAAAUGCGUAGAUAUUAGGAGGAACACCAGUGGCGAAGGCGGCUUUCUGGACUGUAACUUACCCAGAGGCAUGAAAGCGUGGGUAGCAAACAGUAUUAGAGACCCUGGUAGUCCACGCCGUAAACGAUGUGUACUAGGUGUAGGAGGUAUCGACCCCUUCUGUGCCGUCGUUAACACAAUAAGUACCCCGCCUGGGGAGUACGGUCGCAAGACUAAAACUCAAAGGAAUUGACGGGG
RNAcentral lists this ribosomal RNA (397 nucleotides) under uncultured bacterium. Its description in RNAcentral is "partial 16S ribosomal RNA". It matches the Rfam family "Bacterial small subunit ribosomal RNA", at positions 523 to 918 of the family's 1533-position model. The record is from RNAcentral.